This 89-nucleotide small RNA is filed under the name Salmonella enterica. RNAcentral describes it as "partial RtT sRNA". It matches the Rfam family "RtT RNA", at positions 1 to 87 of the family's 130-position model. From Rfam's summary of the family: This family represents a bacterial cis-regulatory element known as RtT RNA. The exact function of RtT is unknown although it is thought that it may be involved in changing the cellular response in relation to amino acid starvation. Lineage: Bacteria; Pseudomonadati; Pseudomonadota; Gammaproteobacteria; Enterobacterales; Enterobacteriaceae. RNAcentral also lists the same sequence under 2 other names. The record is from RNAcentral.
UAUCUCUCCGUACGGGGAAGGAUGAGAAGCUUCGAAUAAGGUUCGAUUCGAGCGAAAGCGAGAAAGCGUUGCCGCAGGCAACGACCCGA